GUGGGAUAUGGCGACAUGGCCCCGAAAACAUAUGCAGGAAUGUUUGUAGGGGCUUUAUGCGCUUUAGCAGGCGUCCUUACCAUUGCGCUGCCGGUGCCUGUGAUAGUUUCAAAU
Non-coding RNA from Dendroctonus ponderosae (mountain pine beetle), 114 nucleotides. NCBI's taxonomy places the organism in Eukaryota, Metazoa, Arthropoda, Insecta, Coleoptera, Curculionidae. The record is from Rfam.